This 61-nucleotide ribosomal RNA is filed under the name Thermoactinomyces vulgaris. RNAcentral describes it as "partial 16S ribosomal RNA". The record is from RNAcentral. Lineage: Bacteria; Bacillati; Bacillota; Bacilli; Caryophanales; Thermoactinomycetaceae.
AAACCUUUAACGGAGAGUUUGAUCCUGGCUCAGGAUGAACGCUGGCGGCAUGCCUAAUACA